AAUUUUACUUCUUAAUAAGACAAUUUAUUUACAUUUUGUUUGGGUCAAAAUUAGGCUAAAAUAAAGUCAAAAUCGUAUUAAUUUCGGUUAAAUUAUGGGUAAGUCAAACCGAAUGUAUAAUUAUCGGUUAACUGGUCGGUUCAAUUGGAGGCGUAGUUUUAAGAACAAAUCCGAAAGUACAUGUAGUUUUAUCGAGAUUAAAAUUGUUUAUGGUGGUUUUUCGAGUGGUUAAAAAUUUAGGGUGGAAAGUUGAAAUUCUAACUAGUAUAGGGUUGAAAAUUCAGGCAUCCCAUACAUCUAUUCAAAGUUAUAUUCUCGCUCAAAAGACAUUUGAUAUUUCUAAGAAGAAACAGGUCAAUUACAUGAAACCCGGUCUAUAUUGCAGUCAUAU
This 391-nucleotide small RNA is filed under the name Arabidopsis thaliana (thale cress). Its description in RNAcentral is "ATSL224130". Lineage: Eukaryota; Viridiplantae; Streptophyta; Magnoliopsida; Brassicales; Brassicaceae. The record is from RNAcentral.